Long non-coding RNA from Ictidomys tridecemlineatus (thirteen-lined ground squirrel), 1358 nucleotides. RefSeq lists it as uncharacterized. The record is from RefSeq and is a predicted model, not a curated record. NCBI's taxonomy places the organism in Eukaryota, Metazoa, Chordata, Mammalia, Rodentia, Sciuridae.
CCCUCGGGCCCGUCUACCAACGAGAGGCACCGCUUGAGGCCAGAGCGGCCUCCCAUCCCUGGAGGUCCACGUUGGUCUCCGCGCCGGGGCUGGGGCCCAGGGACGGCUCCUGUGCGUUGGGGGCGCCACUUUAUCCGUGAGUUCCAGACCUGUAUAUCCAACUACCUACCAGAUAUGUCUGGGAUGUUUCACACAUUCCCAAGUCUUUGUAAGGGACCAGCGAAACGUUGGAAGAAGAGACCACAAGAGACUGACUUCAUGCAAAACACACAAGGGGAUUUUUUAUUUAGGAGCCAAUUCAGCGCGCUAAGACUCUAGGCCCACUCAAGAAGCAAGAGCAGCCCAGAGCCCAGAGCAGGGGUUGAACAAUGCUUAAGUACACCUUUUAGGGAGGGGCGGGGCGGCUUUGCAUACAUCACAGUCUCCUUUAACAAAUCACCUUACACCAUGGGAAAAUCAAACAAUAAUUCUUAGACUUGAUUAGUACAUUUAUUGGUGGGAACAGGGUUGGCUGGAGUGAUAGGUCUUUCCUGAGGAGGGGGUUUACAUUUAAACUGAUUGGUUCGGACCUUGAAUAUCUACGUGAGGAAUUGCACAGGACUCCAGGCCAUAAUUCAACUAAAUGGCCAGUGGGGCCUUGUCCUAACUGCCUCAGGAAUUUAACCCAUGUGUUGCAGUUUAGAAACUUUACCCUUUCAGCUUAACAUGUUUAUUGAACUUAUUCUCUCCCCACCCUUCAACAACAGAAAGAACAAAUGUUGUAUUCAAGAUUCUCUUUCCUGAAUUCCCUAUAUAUAUUGUUGAAUGGAAUCAACUACUUGGCCACCAAAUGGGAAACAUAGAGGAAAUCAUGAAUUCCUCAUUUUUUUCUCAUUCUUGAUUUCAAAUUUACUACCAAGCCUUGUUGAUUUUCUAUCAAAUAUCGUCCAAAUCUAUAUAUCCUCUUUCCAUUCCAAUCCAGACUCUUGUCAUUUCUUUUUUUCACUCAGAGAAGACAACAGUAGUCCCCUAAUUGUUCCUUGAUCUCAUCUCUCUCUGGUCUUGGCUGUUCUACAAGUGACCUAAAAAGGGAAACACUGAUCAAAUUUCACUGGUAUGAAACCUAUCAAUGGUUUUCCACUCCUGUGAGUUUGAUCUCUGGCCUAUGUGAGGAUGGCCUAAGGUCUGAGCCUAAGCAACUCCAUUUUAAAAACUCCAGUUUGAAAACUGCAGUCUCACCAUGCAUGCCUAAUAGAGAGACCACCAGUAUGGCCCUCAGGCACAAACAAGUCACUUCUCCCCACCCUGAUAAACUCAGAUUGAAGCCUCUAGCAGGCUGUUCACGCCUGCCCAGGGAAAAGCACCCCAAAAUAGAAAAA